Non-coding RNA from Phalacrocorax carbo (great cormorant), 5100 nucleotides. The record is from RefSeq and is a predicted model, not a curated record. NCBI's taxonomy places the organism in Eukaryota, Metazoa, Chordata, Aves, Suliformes, Phalacrocoracidae.
GUGGCAGGGAAAAGUCAAGAAACAGAAGUGAAUGUUUCAUGUCUGGGAUACGCUUGGAUCACUUGACCAGAAGACACUUGCUGAUCUUAACUGAGGCUAAGAAUAAGUCAGUGAACCAGGACAAGACUGAGAAAAACAAGUCCAAGACCUGUACAUGAAGUGUGUACAAAGUGUGUUUAGCUUCAGUGACUACUGGGACUCUGAACCACUGUCAUCCUAUUAAUUGUUAACUUGGAGUCCACAUAAGAACUGUAUAUAAUAAACUGGUGAGUGUUGCGAUUUCCUUUCUUUAAUCAGCUUCCUUAUCCUGGACUGCGCACACCGGUCCAGAACUGGAUAUUCCAGGAGCAGUUGUGGCAAUGCCAAAUACAGCAGAGAGUUCCCACCAGCAGGGAAGUUUUCUGGACACUGUACUGGAGCUCAGCUCACUGGACUUUUACCUCCUUAGGUGUUCUCAGGUCUCAUGAUGCUGUAGCAUGACCUGUUAUAAUCACCUGCAGCAGCUAUCACCUGUUAGCUGGGAACUGUUAUUCAGGUUGUUUUUUUUUUCUGUGAAGUACACCCCACCAGCUCAGGCUGCUGGUGUCAGAUCCCCAGCAGUUUAUGCACAGUGUUUCCCUGAAUUUCUCUAUAGUAAGCAAGCUGGAAUGACUACUUGCCUUUGAAUAAGUGUAGCAGAUAGUCAGCAUAGCCUUUUCCCAGGAUUUUUAAACAAAUUGCUCUUUACUUAGAUGUUGGGGACAAUAUACUGAUUGAAACAAAGAUUUCCCCUGUUUACCUUCAUUUGCCAUUCUCAGCCCUGGCUGCUCAAAACUGGAAGAAAAAGAGAAACCAAGUCACAUUUGGAGGUAGUGCAACAACCCUUAUAGAUAGAGGAGAAGCAGCGACUAUUAUGUAUCUUGUGCUUAGUGAAUAUUUGACUCAGCCUUACAUUCCUUCAAGCAAAGAAGGGAAACAUGGUCUAGAAGAAACAUCUGUGAAGUGAGUGCAAAGGUGUUUGGAAAAGUUUAUUCACAAAGUCAGUAUCAGUUGUUCCCUGCCAAAGGAGAAGGAGAUAUUGACUGCUGUUCUGCAGAAGGUCUGCCCAGCAACUGACCCUCUAAUCAAUGGGAUAAUUGAGCAGAGACCACAUUUUUCAUUUUGCAGAUGAUAUCAAGCUUGGAGGGACUGCAAGGCUACCAGUGAAGUGGCUCAGGCUUCAGAGUGAUCCUGACAAAUGUGUGAAAACCAUCUGACCCUUCCCAUCUUUGCCAAUUCAGUUCAAUAGAUGCAGGCUCAUCUGACUGGGAACAAAUGCAGGGAGGGAGAUGACUGAUUUGGCAGCAGCUCUGCAGAAAGCGAUUGGAGAAUCACAGGGGAUGAGAAGAAGAACAUGAAUCAGCAUUCUGAAAAAAAGGCAAACAUCAUACGGAGAUGUAUAAAUAGGAGUUUUAAAUAUAGGCCAGUUAAAAUAGUCGCCCUGCUCCACUUGGCUCUUUAGAGGACUUGGCUAGCAUAAAGCAGUUCCUGACUUUGUAAUUAAAAAAAAAGUUUCAAUGACUUUUUUUUUAAUCAAGAAAGAAGAAAACUGAAAGGAUAAUAUAAAAUUAAUGGAAUUAAGCAGAAUCAAAGGGGUUCAGUUUAUUAGCUCUUGAUGCAUGUCCUAAUGAUAAGGAUAGUAAGCACUGGUAGGUAGCGUUGGCUGGGAAGUUGUGGAGUCUCUAUUAUUGGAUGUUUUUAAAAAUAGGUUAGACAAACUGAUGUUGGGAAUCUAGGUUGUAGAAACGGUGAUCCUACCUUUUGGGAAGAGGAUGGACUUCAGGGAGUAGACGUGCCUUCAAGAGCCUUCCCAGCUCUACCUCGGCCAUUCUUUGAUUUGGCACUGGAUGAAUGAGAACUAAGACAUGCGGCUGGGGGACAACAGCCGGAGACCUGAGCUGUUGAAGGGAGAACAGGAACAGUGUCAGCAUCUCUGUACUGGCCAGAAAAUGACAAGGAGAUAUAGAAAACAUGAAAAUGAUUGCAUAUCCAUGCCACAUGUGGCCCCAUUUUCUUAUAAAUAAGAAAAAUAAUAAUAUGCCAGCUUGAAAACAACGUGCAUGUCAUAUAUUGUCUUUUGUACUGCCUCAGCAGUGCUGUAAAAAUGGACACAUGCUAAUACCGAGACAACAACAGAUUGGUAAAGCAAAAAUUUACCAACUCUCCAAAUGCCACUUGCAUUUCAUAGUAUGCAGAAAACAGUCUUACUCUUCCAAAACCUCAGUGUUUUCAUAUGCAGAUUCAUUUUUGUGCAAGGCCAGCAAGAAAAUCACAAGCUCUCUUUAUCCAGCCUGAGCGAAAGAAAAAUGAAUUUGACAGCUGGCCUUAAACACUUUCUCCUUGAUGAUUCAAAGAAAAUGGAAUCCAUCUAAAGCUGUUGAUUAAUUCUUCAAAUACAGAUGGAGAGCUAUACCUUGAAAAUCUACCCCUAACAAGUAUAAUAAAUGAAUGCGUGGAGGAGGGGGAAGCCUUUCUUUUACAAGGUUUUCAAACAGCCCUUUUCAAGGGAUGUAAUACCUGUUUUGUAUUAUAGGAUGACUUUAUCUCUAUAGUUCAUGAAAUGUAAGAGAAAAGCUUUAUAGAUUCUCAUAAAGGUGAUAUGUACUACACAGGCAGAGUCUAGAUUUUGAAGAGUUACCAUGGAUCCAAGCUAAACAAUCUCUUCCUUUUCAUACAGUCCAAAUAAUUAUUGGAGGCAAGAGGCUAGUCAACAGUGCAAAUAAAAUAGCUUCUAAAAUAUAUUUUAGUAGAAUUUUGAAAGAAUAGCAAUAGUCAUUGAUUACAAGGCACAUUUCUAGAAAGUACCAGAAUAUUUCAUCAUAUAAUUAAAAUGUUUUUCAAUGUAUUUGGGGCUAUUUAAUAAUUGUAAUAUUUCUUCACGGCAGUUCCAGCACACAGACUUUUUUACUGUCGUUAUCAAUAGUAAAAAGUUUAAGAAUUCCUCUACAUUUUUAUAACUGUAUCAGAGUUUUCCACAUAAUGGCCUGGAAGCAAAACCGAACUCUUUAUGGUGACUGAACUAAAAUCUGUCUCUACUUUAAAAAUAUUACAGUAGACUUGGUGAAAUGCAAUACAUUUUGUGUUUAUGUGUACCUUUAAAAGAGAGGACAGUAAUAAGAAUUUUAUUGAACACCCAUAUGUACACAUUCAGUGUGCUAUAAAAUAUCUGAUUAAAUCCAAUUAACAGAGAACACUACAAUUAAAAAAAUUCCUCUUUCACCUCUUUUGAAACUGGCACAUUUUCAUUAAAAUCAAUGCUGUAGAAAUGUACAAUUUGCAGGAACUAAUUUAUCUUCCCUUUUUUAUUUCUUGUGAAAUCAUAGGAGGCUUUUAAAAGUCAUUUCCUGCGCAGAAAAUAGGAUAUAAAAUACAGUAACUUUUACUGCAUCUGGAGAAUAUAGUUUUCCCAACUGUUCUGUUCAGUGGUAGUUACAUGACUCUUCUAGACAUGCUGACAUUAAAAAAACCCACCAAUUUUUGAAGGAUGAAAAGAGAAAUUUUAGGAAUAUAUUUCUCAGGUUGUCCACAUUGAAGAUUGCAGUACAAAAAACCCAAUCUUUUUUUGAGCCAUCAUUUCUAAUAUCAUGCGAGUAAAACAUAUUAGCAAAGGAAAGAAGCAAGUCAAAUAUAUUCUUACAAGGCAGGGCACACUGUGCAUGCAAAUGGGAUCAUAUAUAAGCCCUACUCUUCCCAUUCGGUGAAAUAUUGCUUUAGAGCUCUUUCAGAAUAUAAAGUACAAAGAAGCAUAUAUAGCAUUCAGAUGCCCUCUGUGCAGAGGAAAACUUAUUUUCCUUUGAAAAUAGGGACUUUAAUCAGCAGUGAUUAAUCCCCAGACAGCAGGACAUUGUGGCCCACCUGCACAGGACCAGCGGGUGAGCUGAGCUCAAGGUUUGGUUCCAGUUCACCCCACCUAGCAAAUGACACUGGAGAUGAAAUCCCUAUUUGAACUGGCUGUCACCUAAGAGGUUGUCUACAUCGUACAAACAUAAGGUAAGGCAAAGCAAAAGUGGUUUUGUGGAAACACCAUCAUCUCCCCAUGCUCCGGCCCCGGUAGCUAAAAAACAACCGGCUUCACAUAACAUGAUCUCCUGCCACUCCUACUGUAAUUAGUUGGUGAGUUUACAUUAGUGGUGAAGACCCUGGGGUGAAGUACAUUCCCGGGCCAAGACUCAGGACAAGAUUUUACGUAUCAUUUAACUCCUUCCUUUAAAUAGUAUACAACUGAGAAUUAAAGAAUCCAUAAUCUGUGGUUUGCCUAGGUGGAGGGGUGCAUUUCAUUCAGUCGGAAUUCAGAAUGAAGAUGCACCAGUUAAAAAAUAAUCAGAAGAUUGAUGUCUGGUUGAUGAAAGGGGAUGGUAAAGAAUAGAAAAAUGUUAUUCUUUACACUGAGACUAAGAGGCUUAGUAUAAAGAAUAAAAAUACAUUUAUAAGAGGCUAGGUAAUGAUUAAUGAAUAUUGUAAACAUGUCCCAUGGCUACAGAAAAUCAGUAUAUUUUAUUUUGGGAGACAGCAAACAAUGUUUUCAAAGCAUCCUAUCAGGCCCCAUGGUAAGUGAUUGACGCUAAAGUAAUAAUUUUAAUCUACUUAAAGCCAUUUGAAAUUGGAUUUUUAAUAUAGAGUAUGACCAGAAAAAAGAUUAACAGCGUUAUCUAUGACUAUAUCUGGUACAAACAAUACAGUAUGUCUGAGAACAACUUUCAUGUGUAUGAAAAUGACAGCUGGAUAGGAAAUAUUUGAAAAGUGGUCUUGCUUAGCUUCAGAAUGAACCAUGGACCUUCUACCUUACCCAGACAGAAACCAAGCAGACAAAAGAAUUUUAAGUAUUGCAUUAGGGAAGAUCUUUCAGCUAGCGUCAGUAUGGAGACAUUAAUGUGAAGAUCAGAGGUUACCACAAUACAAGGUACGAAAAUCAUGUCUGUCAUGAUAGUUUGUAAUGUGGAACAAAGAAUAAACUUAGCAAAUGUUCAUUUAUGGCAAUGCAAUUACAAAAGGUAUUCUUGCAGCACUGAAGGAAAGCAUGAGUGAACCCUUCUCCACCCAGUAUGAGGCUUCAUUGUUUGUAAUAAACUUUCUGUGACAACU